Molecule: ribosomal RNA, 523 nt
Filed under: uncultured bacterium
Lineage: Bacteria
Description: bacterial SSU rRNA
Rfam family: Archaeal small subunit ribosomal RNA
Source: RNAcentral
ACGGAAUAGAUACCCAGGUAGUCCCAGCUGUAAACGAUGCAGACUAGGUGUUUGGACGGCCACGUGCCGUUCCAGUGCCGCAGGGAAGCUGUUAAGUCUGCCGCCUGGGGAGUACGAUCGCAAGAUUGAAACUUAAAGGAAUUGGCGGGGGAGCACCACAAGGGGUGAAGCUUGCGGUUUAAUUGGAGUCAACGCUGGAAAUCUCACCGGGAGCGACAGCAGUAUGAAAGCCAGAUUGAAGGUCUUGCUAGACGAGCUGAGAGGAGGUGCAUGGCCGUCGCCAGUUCGUGCCGUGAGGUGUCCUGUUAAGUCAGGCAACGAUCGAGACCCGCGUCCUCUGUUGCAACCAGCUUUGUGCUGGGCACACUGAGGAGACCGCCACUGAUAAAGUGGAGGAAGGAGCGGGCCACGGCAGGUCAGUAUGCCCCGAAUCUCCCGGGCCACACGCGAGCUGCAAUGGCAAGUACAAUGGGUUCCGACCUCGAAAGGGGGAGGCAAUCUCGAAAGCUUGCCGUAGUUGGAA